Molecule: transfer RNA, 70 nt
Filed under: Marmota monax (woodchuck)
Lineage: Eukaryota; Metazoa; Chordata; Mammalia; Rodentia; Sciuridae
Description: tRNA.Val
Source: RNAcentral
UUUUGGCUCAGCGGUAGAGUACUCGCCUCACAUGUGUGAGACCCUGGGUUUGAUCCUCAGCACAUAAAAA